AGCGAACGCUGGCGGCAGGCUUAACACAUGCAAGUCGAGCGCCCCGCAAGGGGAGCGGCAGACGGGUGAGUAACACGUGGGAACGUGCCUUUUGGUUCGGAACAACCCAGGGAAACUUGGGCUAAUACCGGAUAAGCCCUUACGGGGAAAGAUUUAUCGCCAAAAGAUCGGCCCGCGUCUGAUUAGCUAGUUGGUGGGGUAAUGGCCCACCAAGGCUACGAUCAGUAGCUGGUCUGAGAGGAUGAUCAGCCACAUUGGGACUGAGACACGGCCAAACUCCUACGGGAGGCAGCAGUGGGGAAUAUUGGACAAUGGGGGCAACCCUGAUCCAGCCAUGCCGCGUGGGUGAUGAAGGCCUUAGGGUUGUAAAGCUCUUUUAGCAGGGAAGAUAAUGACGGUACCUGCAGAAAAAGCCCCGGCUAACUUCGUGCCAGCCGCCGCGGUAA
RNAcentral lists this ribosomal RNA (446 nucleotides) under uncultured bacterium. RNAcentral's name for it is "partial 16S ribosomal RNA". It matches the Rfam family "Bacterial small subunit ribosomal RNA", at positions 29 to 523 of the family's 1533-position model. The record is from RNAcentral.